RNAcentral lists this ribosomal RNA (398 nucleotides) under uncultured bacterium. Its description in RNAcentral is "partial 16S ribosomal RNA". It matches the Rfam family "Bacterial small subunit ribosomal RNA", at positions 362 to 759 of the family's 1533-position model. The record is from RNAcentral.
UUUUGGACAAUGGGCGCAAGCCUGAUCCAGCCAUUCCGCGUGAGUGAAGAAGGCCUUCGGGUUGUAAAGCUCUUUCCCCCCCCCCCCCCAACUUAGGCGCUAAUAUCGCUUGAGGUUGACGGUACCUUGAUAAGAAGCACCGGCUAACUACGUGCCAGCAGCCGCGGUAAUACGUAGGGUGCGAGCGUUAAUCGGAAUUACUGGGCGUAAGGCGUGCGCAGGCGGUUUUGUAAGUCAGAUGUGAAAUCCCCGAGCUCAACUUGGGAAAUGGGUUUGAAACUACAAGACUAGAAUAUGUCAGAGGGGGGUAGAAUUCCACGUGUAGCAGUGAAAUGCGUAGAGAUGGGAGGAAUACCAAGGCGAAGGCAGCCCCCGGGAUAUAUUACGUCAGCAGAAAG